Molecule: ribosomal RNA, 440 nt
Filed under: uncultured bacterium
Lineage: Bacteria
Description: partial 16S ribosomal RNA
Rfam family: Bacterial small subunit ribosomal RNA
Source: RNAcentral
CCUACGGGGGGCAGCAGUAGGGAAUAGUGCUCAAUGGGGGAAACCCGGAAGCAGCAACGCCGCGUGGAGGAUGAAGGUGUGCGGAUGGUAAACUCCUUUUGGUAGAGAAGAGAAUGACGGUAUCUAACGAAUAAGCAACGGCUAACUCCGUGCCAGCAGCCGCGGUAAUACGGAGGGUGCAAGCGUUACUCGGAAUCACUGGGCGUAAAGAGCGCGUAGGCGGGAUAGCAAGUCAGAUGUGAAAUCCUAUGGCUUAACCAUAGAACUGCAUUUGAAACUGUUAUUCUAGAGUAUGGGAGAGGUAGGUGGAAUUCUUGGUGUAGGGGUCACAUCCGUAGAGAUCAAGAGGAAUACUCAUUGCGAAGGCGACCUGCUAGAACAUAACUGACGCUGAUGCGCGAAAGCGUGGGGAGCAAACAGGAUUAGAUACCCUUGUAGUC